CUGACCGUAAAGCCCCCUCUCAGAUUUAUUAUCAUCAACUCAGCAUAAGGGCGCUGAAGAGGUUUGCCCCGGAACGUGAAUGAGGAAGUGUUGUAUUGUUAUAUUUUCCCGGUUUCAUUUCACUCACCUCAUGACCUUCGUGGAGGAUAAAACACGCAAGCUAGUAGUGCUUCAGGCCGAAGACGCAACUAAGGUAUCCAGGUUUUAUUGCGGCCUUGGUGAGCGCAGCAAGUUUUCACGGUGCUCGAAGCUGGUCAUUGCCGACUGCAAAUAAACAUACCGCACCUGUAGAGACUCUCUGCUCAUUCGUGACGCCAAGGGCCGUAACACUGGCCAUUCUUUCACAAGUGACAGGAUGUCUGUGCUUUUGAACACACAGUGAACACUGCCCCAAAGAGCCCAGACACGGGGACACGACCUUAAUAUCAAGUGUGAUUUUAUGGGUUUUAUUUUAUCCAGUCAUGAAUCUACACAGUCUAGAUCCAGGAAUGCAUUUUUAAACCCUCUCUGCUGAGUUUCUGAUUCAUAACCUAAAGCUGUGGGCUGCUGGGAGGACACGGUGUCCACAUUGUCUGACCACAAACAGGCUGCGGUUUCUUACUUGAUUCGGCUCCCCCACUCAUUUUAUACCCUUUAGUAGAAAUUAAUUUGAAGGCUGACAAGU
Monopterus albus (swamp eel) is the source of this 664-nucleotide long non-coding RNA. RefSeq lists it as uncharacterized. The record is from RefSeq and is a predicted model, not a curated record. NCBI's taxonomy places the organism in Eukaryota, Metazoa, Chordata, Actinopteri, Synbranchiformes, Synbranchidae. The transcript is spliced from 3 exons.